CCUGAAACCGUGUACGUACAAGCAGUGGGAGCACCCUUCGGGGUGUGACUGCGUACCUUUUGUAUAAUGGGUCAGCGACUUAUAUUCUGUAGCAAGGUUAACCGUAUAGGGGAGCCGGAGGGAAACCGAGUCUUAAUUGGGCGUUAAGUUGCAGGGUAUAGACCCGAAACCCGGUGAUCUAGCCAUGGGCAGGUUGAAGGUUGGGUAACACUAACUGGAGGACCGAACCGACUAAUGUUGAAAAAUUAGCGGAUGACCUGUGGCUGGGGGUGAAAGGCCAAUCAAACCGGGAGAUAGCUGGUUCUCCCCGAAAGCUAUUUAGGUAGCGCCUCGUGAAUUCAUCUCCGGGGGUAGAGCACUGUUUCGGCUAGGGGGCCAUCCCGGCUUACCAACCCGAUGCAAACUGCGAAUACCGGAGAAUGUUAUCACGGGAGACACACGGCGGGUGCUAACGUCCGUCGUGAAGAGGGAAACAACCCAGACCGCCAGCUAAGGUCCCAAAGUCAUGGUUAAGUGGGAAACGAUGUGGGAAGGCCCAGACAGCCAGGAUGUUGGCUUAGAAGCAGCCAUCAUUUAAAGAAAGCGUAAUAGCUCACUGGUCGAGUCGGCCUGCGCGGAAGAUGUAACGGGGCUAAACCAUGCACCGAAGCUGCGGCAGCGAACGUAUCACCCAAGACAACUUUACGGAGUUGACGAUUGACGGAGCGAAGCGACGUCAAAGCGUUCAUUAAAGUCGAGUUGGCUUAGGGAUACGUUCGUUGGGUAGGGGAGCGUUCUGUAAGCCUGUGAAGGUGUGUCGUGAGGCAUGCUGGAGGUAUCAGAAGUGCGAAUGCUGACAUAAGUAACGAUAAAGCGGGUGAAAAGCCCGCUCGCCGGAAGACCAAGGGUUCCUGUCCAACGUUAAUCGGGGCAGGGUGAGUCGACCCCUAAGGCGAGGCCGAAAGGCGUAGUCGAUGGGAAACGGGUUAAUAUUCCCGUACUUGGUGUUACUGCGAAGGGGGGACGGAGAAGGCUAUGUUGGCCGGGCGACGGUUGUCCCGGUUUAAGCGUGUAGGUGUGUGUUCCAGGUAAAUCCGGUUCACUUUAACACUGAGGCGUGACGACGAGGCACUACGGUGCUGAAGCAACAAAUGCCCUGCUUCCAGGAAAAGCCUCUAAGCAUCAGGUAACAUCAAAUCGUACCCCAAACCGACACAGGUGGUCAGGUAGAGAAUACCAAGGCGCUUGAGAGAACUCGGGUGAAGGAACUAGGCAAAAUGGUGCCGUAACUUCGGGAGAAGGCACGCUGACACGUAGGUGAAGUGAUUUACUCAUGGAGCUGAAGUCAGUCGAAGAUACCAGCUGGCUGCAACUGUUUAUUAAAAACACAGCACUGUGCAAACACGAAAGUGGACGUAUACGGUGUGACGCCUGCCCGGUGCCGGAAGGUUAAUUGAUGGGGUCAGCGCAAGCGAAGCUCCUGAUCGAAGCCCCGGUAAACGGCGGCCGUAACUAUAACGGUCCUAAGGUAGCGAAAUUCCUUGUCGGGUAAGUUCCGACCUGCACGAAUGGCGUAAUGAUGGCCAGGCUGUCUCCACCCGAGACUCAGUGAAAUUGAACUCGCUGUGAAGAUGCAGUGUACCCGCGGCAAGACGGAAAGACCCCGUGAACCUUUACUAUAGCUUGACACUGAACAUUGAGCCUUGAUGUGUAGGAUAGGUGGGAGGCUUUGAAGUGUGGACGCCAGUCUGCAUGGAGCCGACCUUGAAAUACCACCCUUUAAUGUUUGAUGUUCUAACGUGGACCCGUAAUCCGGGUUGCGGACAGUGUCUGGUGGGUAGUUUGACUGGGGCGGUCUCCUCCUAAAGAGUAACGGAGGAGCACGAAGGUUGGCUAAUCCUGGUCGGACAUCAGGAGGUUAGUGCAAUGGCAUAAGCCAGCUUGACUGCGAGCGUGACGGCGCGAGCAGGUGCGAAAGCAGGUCAUAGUGAUCCGGUGGUUCUGAAUGGAAGGGCCAUCGCUCAACGGAUAAAAGGUACUCCGGGGAUAACAGGCUGAUACCGCCCAAGAGUUCAUAUCGACGGCGGUGUUUGGCACCUCGAUGUCGGCUCAUCACAUCCUGGGGCUGAAGUAGGUCCCAAGGGUAUGGCUGUUCGCCAUUUAAAGUGGUACGCGAGCUGGGUUUAGAACGUCGUGAGACAGUUCGGUCCCUAUCUGCCGUGGGCGCUGGAGAACUGAGGGGGGCUGCUCCUAGUACGAGAGGACCGGAGUGGACGCAUCACUGGUGUUCGGGUUGUCAUGCCAAUGGCACUGCCCGGUAGCUAAAUGCGGAAGAGAUAAGUGCUGAAAGCAUCUAAGCACGAAACUUGCCCCGAGAUGAGUUCUCCCUGAGACUUAGAGUCUCCUGAAGGAACGUUGAAGACGACGACGUUGAUAGGCCGGGUGUGUAAGCGCAGCGAUGCGUUGAGCUAACCGGUACUAAUGAACCGUGAGGCUUAACCUUACA
Molecule: ribosomal RNA, 2485 nt
Filed under: Salmonella enterica subsp. enterica serovar Typhimurium
Lineage: Bacteria; Pseudomonadati; Pseudomonadota; Gammaproteobacteria; Enterobacterales; Enterobacteriaceae
Description: partial 23S ribosomal RNA
Rfam family: Bacterial large subunit ribosomal RNA
Source: RNAcentral